This is a long non-coding RNA of Rhipicephalus sanguineus (brown dog tick), 287 nucleotides long. RefSeq lists it as uncharacterized. The transcript has 3 exons. Lineage: Eukaryota; Metazoa; Arthropoda; Arachnida; Ixodida; Ixodidae. The record is from RefSeq and is a predicted model, not a curated record.
AGGUGACCGUGAUGGGCGGCUCGCCGACGGCACGGCAGGUGAGCGCUACGCUCUCGCCUCGACGAACGGACGAAGGCGCCUCUCACCUUCCUGCCAUUUACGCCACCCUGCGGCCCCUUGAAGCAUGGCGUGCCCGAAGAGAGCAAAUCAGACGGGCAGAAAAAGCAGUCACGUGAAGAAGAGGGAUUUCUGGAUAAGUGGCGGGGCGAGUUUUAACAACGAGUAUGACUGAAAUAUUCCGGUGCUCUUAUGGGCUGCGCCACGACAAGUUUCCGUCGCCAUUUAUG